AUUGAACGCUGGCGGCAGGCCUAACACAUGCAAGUCGAACGGUAACAGGGAUCAGCUUGCUGAUUCGCUGACGAGUGGCGGACGGGUGAGUAAUGUCUGGGAAACUGCCUGAUGGAGGGGGAUAACUACUGGAAACGGUAGCUAAUACCGCAUAACGUCGCAAGACCAAAGAGGGGGACCUUCGGGCCUCUUGCCAUCGGAUGUGCCCAGAUGGGAUUAGCUAGUAGGUGGGGUAACGGCUCACCUAGGCGACGAUCCCUAGCUGGUCUGAGAGGAUGACCAGCCACACUGGAACUGAGACACGGUCCAGACUCCUACGGGAGGCAGCAGUGGGGAAUAUUGCACAAUGGGCGCAAGCCUGAUGCAGCCAUGCCGCGUGUAUGAAGAAGGCCUUCGGGUUGUAAAGUACUUUCAGCGGGGAGGAAGGGAGUAAAGUUAAUACCUUUGCUCAUUGACGCUACCCGCAGAAGAAGCACCGGCUAACUCCGUG
This 490-nucleotide ribosomal RNA is filed under the name uncultured bacterium. RNAcentral's name for it is "partial 16S ribosomal RNA". It matches the Rfam family "Bacterial small subunit ribosomal RNA", at positions 30 to 507 of the family's 1533-position model. The record is from RNAcentral.